AACGCACAUUGCGCCCCUUGGUAUUCCGAGGGGCAUGCCUGUUCGAGCGUCAUUACAACCCUCAAGCAUUGCUUGGUAUUGGGCCCCGCUACUUACCCAGCGGGCCUUAAAAUCAGUGGCGGUGCCGUCGAGGCCCUGAGCGUAGUAAAUAUCCUCGCUAUAGGGACUCGGUGGACGCUGGCCAUCAACCCCCAACUUUCUAAGUUUGACCUCGGAUCAGGUAGGGAUACCCGCUGAACUUAA
This 243-nucleotide unclassified non-coding RNA is filed under the name uncultured fungus. RNAcentral describes it as "sequence contains ITS2". The stretch from base 1 to 52 matches the Rfam family "5.8S ribosomal RNA", at positions 103 to 154 of the family's 154-position model. The record is from RNAcentral. Lineage: Eukaryota; Fungi.